AUUUACUGGGUUAGUAGUGCAAAAACAUUCACAAAACUCGUAGAAAAACAUAGAAACAAGUGACCAAAGAUUCAAGAACUGCAUCUUCCCGGAAGUGAGGCAUACCGUUCCUGGCCCAUCUCUCUCGUAGAUAUAUACAUUAGAUUUGUUCAAAUGGCCAAGAAGUCGAGACCCAGGAAAUUAUCUGUGUACCUCUACAUUCCAAACAUCAUUGGAUAUAUAAGGGUUCUCAUGAACUGCUUUGCCUUUUACAUUUGCUCUUCAAACAAACAGCUUUUCUCAGUUCUCUACUUCAUUAGCUUUGUCUGUGAUGCCUUGGAUGGUUGGUUUGCUCGCAAAUUUAAUCAAGUUUCGACCUUUGGAGCCGUUUUGGACAUGGUGACAGAUAGGAUUAGCACUGCUUGUCUACUGGUAAUUCUCUCCCAAGUAUAUAGGCCUGGCUUAGUUUUCUUGUCAUUACUGGCUUUGGAUAUUGGCAGCCAUUGGUUCCAGAUGUAUAGUACAUUCUUGGCAGGCAAAGCUAGCCAUAAAGAUGUCAAAGACAGCACUAAUUGGCUAUUCAAGGCGUAUUAUGGAAAUCGGAUCUUUAUGUGUUACUGUUGUGUUGCAUGUGAGCUACUUUACAUAACUCUAUUUCUUCUGGCGAAGAACCAGAAUGAGAAUCUGACCAAGGUUGUACUGGAGGCUGCCAAGCAGAACUCAGCUCUUGCCGUUCUACUUGCUUUACUAUUGGUUGGAUGGGCGAUCAAGCAAGCAGUAAAUUUUAUACAGGUAAGAAGUAUGGCUGUCACUAAGUAAAGAAGAAAAACAUUUCCUGUCCUAUACAUUUGUGGAAGACAAUGGGGUUCGGCGUAGGGCCAGGACUACGGCCUGGCUCCCUCACCAGGUGUGAUGGCUGCGUUCGAGUCUUCUGCCAGACUCAUUCCCUUCCUCUUUAACCUCCCUACCAAAUAUUGAAAGAAGCUUAUUUCUGGGUGGCGGUGAAGUUUAGCUAUCCUAAGCCUACACUAAAAUGGACAAAAUAUUACCUCCAUUCAUACAGCUACUCAAUGUGGAGCUUAUUGUGAGUUUGUCUUGAAAAGUAGUAGUCAUGACUCAUGCAUAUGCUUCUGAUUCUUGUUAGCAACUGUCAAGCCUCUUUGUCUAAACUGUAAUUCAGUUGAUAUGCAUAUCUUUUAUGCUGAAUUUUGGUGCAUAUUACAGAUUCAGUAAUAAGUUCUUUUACUCAUUGUCUAAAGUUAAGGGUAAUGCUUGCAUUGAUUUUGGAUAACGUUUCUCAGUUUAGACUAUAAUGAUGCUGAACUGUCUCACUUAGAUUUCAGAUGUUUCCUUUUCUAUCUAUAAAUUGGCAGACAAUAAUGACAACAGUGACAAUACCCUCCUCAUGUAGAUUAUUGUUUAUUCGCAGGCUAUCUGCUACUUGUAACAUUACACUUUUUUCAGAGAGCUUUUCCUAAUCAUUUGCUAUUUUCUCUGUUAUGUAUGUACUUUUAGUUGGGGUCUGGGAGGGGUUUGUGAGUCGAAAAAUGGGGUUGUGAUUAAAUCUUUAACAGCCGAUUGUGGUCGCUAAUGGAUUACCUUUUCACUUUCAUUGGUCUGGCUGAUGUGUGUUGUCAUGAUGAUUCUAAUACACUUUUUCUAGUAGGCUUCACUGCAAAGGUUCAGUGGGGAUUCUAGCCGUGCCUUUUCUAAUUGGUGUUCGCAUGUCAUUCUUUCGGAUUUCUUUUGUUUUGGGUAUUGUGAUCCUGGAAUUGCAGUGAUCUGGACCAAGUUGAAUUGAAACUCGUUUUUAUGGUCUCAGAUGAAGACAGCAGCAGAUCUAUGCGUGGAUUACGACAUCAACAAAAAGCAAAAGGCGUAAAACUUUAACUGAGAAAUUUCUCCACAGCAUCGUUGCUUCAAAAAACAUGCAGACCUCCUUAUCUUCCUGACCUCAUUGAGUUAUCCGUUGCUUAAGCAAAAACAUCCUGGAAGCAGUGUAACCAUUUACCAUGGAUCAUGACUAUUUGUUUGGACUUACUACAGAUAGGAAAAGAUUAACUCUCUAUGGUUUUUGUAUACUCGGAAUUGUGGUUUUGGUUUUCUUUUUGUAGGCCUAGGUCAUUUAUCCUUGGAAGGACUGAUGUACAUUGUUCUGUAAUCAGAAUGAAGAUGGUUUCUCUCA
Molecule: RNA transcript, 2164 nt
Organism: Rhododendron vialii
Lineage: Eukaryota; Viridiplantae; Streptophyta; Magnoliopsida; Ericales; Ericaceae
Gene name: CDP-diacylglycerol--inositol 3-phosphatidyltransferase 1
Exons: 11
Source: RefSeq, a predicted model, not a curated record